GAUAAACGCUGGCGGCGUGCUUAACACAUGCAAGUCGAACGAAGUUUUUCCUUCGGGAGUAACUUAGUGGCGGACGGGUGAGUAACGCGUGGGUAACCUGCCCUGUACAGGGGGACAACAGCUGGAAACGGCUGCUAAUACCGCAUAAGCCCUUAGCACUGAAUGGUGCAUAGGGAAAAGGAGCAAUCCGUUACAGGAUGGACCCGCGUCUGAUUAGCCAGUUGGAAGGGUAACGGCCUACCAAAGCGACGAUCAGUAGCCGAUCUGAGAGGAUGUACGGCCACAUUGGGACUGAGACACGGCCCAGACUCCUACGGGAGGCAGCAGUGGGGAAUAUUGCACAAUGGAGGAAACUCUGAUGCAGCGACGCCGCGUGAGUGAAGAAGUAUUUCGGUAUGUAAAGCUCUAUCAGCAGGGAAGAAAAUGACGGUACCUGACGAAGAAGCACCGGCUAAAUACGUG
RNAcentral lists this ribosomal RNA (462 nucleotides) under uncultured bacterium. RNAcentral's name for it is "partial 16S ribosomal RNA". It matches the Rfam family "Bacterial small subunit ribosomal RNA", at positions 28 to 507 of the family's 1533-position model. The record is from RNAcentral.